This 404-nucleotide ribosomal RNA is filed under the name Staphylococcus aureus. RNAcentral describes it as "bacterial SSU rRNA". It matches the Rfam family "Bacterial small subunit ribosomal RNA", at positions 1 to 394 of the family's 1533-position model. Lineage: Bacteria; Bacillati; Bacillota; Bacilli; Caryophanales; Staphylococcaceae. The record is from RNAcentral.
UUUAUGGAGAGUUUGAUCCUGGCUCAGGAUGAACGCUGGCGGCGUGCCUAAUACAUGCAAGUCGAGCGAACGGAUGAGAAGCUUGCUUCUCUGAUGUUAGCGGCGGACGGGUGAGUAACACGUGGAUAACCUACCUAUAAGACUGGGAUAACUUCGGGAAACCGGAGCUAAUACCGGAUAAUAUUUUGAGCCGCAUGGUUCAAAAGUGAAAGACGGUCUUGCUGUCACUUAUAGAUGGAUCCGCGCUGCAUUAGCUAGUUGGUAAGGUAACGGCUUACCAAGGCAACGAUGCAUAGCCGACCUGAGAGGGUGAUCGGCCACACUGGAACUGAGACACGGUCCAGACUCCUACGGGAGGCAGCAGUAGGGAAUCUUCCGCAAUGGGCGAAAGCCUGACGGAGCAA